This 357-nucleotide unclassified non-coding RNA is filed under the name soil metagenome. RNAcentral's name for it is "partial contains 5.8S ribosomal RNA, internal transcribed spacer 2, and large subunit ribosomal RNA". The stretch from base 1 to 120 matches the Rfam family "5.8S ribosomal RNA", at positions 35 to 154 of the family's 154-position model. The record is from RNAcentral.
GAUGAAGAACGUAGCGAAAUGCGAUAAGUAAUGUGAAUUGCAGAAUUCAGUGAAUCAUCGAAUCUUUGAACGCACAUUGCGACCGCUAGUAUUCUGGCGGGCAUGCCUGUUCGAGCGUCAUUUCAACCCUCAGGCCCCCAGUGCCUGGCGUUGGGGAUCGGCCGCUGGCGUCUUUCGGGGCGCCUGGCCGGCCCCGAAAUCUAGUGGCGGUCUCGCUGUAGUCCUCCUCUGCGUAGUAGCACAACCUCGCACUUGGAACUCGGCGGUGGCCAUGCCGUUAAACACCCCACUUCUGAAAGUUGACCUCGGAUCAGGUAGGAAUACCCGCUGAACUUAAGCAUAUCAAUAAGCGGAGGA